UACGUAGGAGGCAAGCGUUAUCCGGAUUUACUGGGCUUAAAGGGUGUGCAGGCGGUUGGACAAGUCGUGCUUGAAAGCCGUGCGCUCAACGCGCGGAGGCGGUGCGAGACUGUCGAGCUAGAGGCUGUGAGAGGGUGACGGAAUUCCGGGUGUAGUGGUGAAAUGCGUAGAGAUCCGGAGGAACACCAGAGGCGAAGGCGGUCACCUGGCACGUGCCUGACGCUGAGACACGACAGCAUGGGGAG
RNAcentral lists this ribosomal RNA (245 nucleotides) under uncultured bacterium. RNAcentral's name for it is "partial 16S ribosomal RNA". It matches the Rfam family "Bacterial small subunit ribosomal RNA", at positions 524 to 768 of the family's 1533-position model. The record is from RNAcentral.